UCCCUGGUGGUCCAGUGGCUAAGACUCUGUGUCCCCAAUGCAGGGGACCUGGGUUUGAUCCCUGGUCAGGGAA
RNAcentral lists this transfer RNA (73 nucleotides) under Ovis aries (sheep). It matches the Rfam family "tRNA". From Rfam's summary of the family: Transfer RNA (tRNA) molecules are approximately 80 nucleotides in length. Their secondary structure includes four short double-helical elements and three loops (D, anti-codon, and T loops). Further hydrogen bonds mediate the characteristic L-shaped molecular structure. tRNAs have two regions of fundamental functional importance: the anti-codon, which is responsible for specific mRNA codon recognition, and the 3' end, to which the tRNAs corresponding amino acid is attached (by aminoacyl-tRNA synthetases). tRNAs cope with the degeneracy of the genetic code in two manners: having more than one tRNA (with a specific anti-codon) for a particular amino acid; and 'wobble' base-pairing, i.e. permitting non-standard base-pairing at the 3rd anti-codon position. The record is from Rfam by way of RNAcentral. Lineage: Eukaryota; Metazoa; Chordata; Mammalia; Artiodactyla; Bovidae.